AGUCUUUUUUUACUUUGUAAGAGAUUUGAGACAUAUUUUAUCAAUUUGUAUAUCCUCUACUUUUAAAUGUAUGUGUUGAAGAGGCAUUGGUGUUGCCAUUGAAUUAUAGUAACAUUGAAGUCCACUUAUCUUACUCUUAGAUUGAAAUUUGAAAGGCCAACUAUUACACUUUACAACAAAGUCAAUUGCUUGAUUCAAUGUUUGAGGAUCAGAUAAGUUGAGCAUCAAUUUCUUUACCUCAUAUUAUAAUCUAUAGAAAAAUUUGCUAAUAAGUGCAGUAUCAUUCUACUUGAUAUCAAUUACAAGUUGUAAAAAUUAUGAAGCAUAUAAUGUUAUGAUUUGAUUGCCUUAUUA
RNAcentral lists this long non-coding RNA (354 nucleotides) under Physcomitrium patens. RNAcentral's name for it is "long non-coding RNA (PPAT_LNC011265)". The record is from RNAcentral. Lineage: Eukaryota; Viridiplantae; Streptophyta; Bryopsida; Funariales; Funariaceae.